RNAcentral lists this ribosomal RNA (468 nucleotides) under uncultured bacterium. Its description in RNAcentral is "partial 16S ribosomal RNA". It matches the Rfam family "Bacterial small subunit ribosomal RNA", at positions 28 to 507 of the family's 1533-position model. The record is from RNAcentral.
GACGAACGCUGGCGGCGUGCUUAACACAUGCAAGUCGAACGGACAGUCCCUGCUUUUGUGGGGUGCUCGAUUGGCGAACGGUUGAGUAACACGUGAGUACCCUUACCUUGCCUUUGUGAUAACUUCAGGUAACUGGGGCUAAUACCGGAUAGGAGCUCAUGCUGUUUGGUGGUGGAUGGAAAGUUUCGGCGGUUGGGGAUGGCCGCGCGGCUUAUCAGCUUGUCGGUGGGGUAGUUGCUUACCAAGGCGUUGACGGGUCGCCGGCCUGAGAGGGUGACCGGCCACAUAGGGACAGAGAAGCGGGCCGGACUGAUACGUGAGGAAGCAGUGGGGGAUAUUGCGCAAUGGGCGGAGGCCGGAUGCAGCAACGCCGCGUGCGGGAGGACGGCCGUCGGGUUGUAAACCGCGUGCGCCUGUGACGAAGCGUGAGUGACGGUAAUGGGUAAAGAAGCACCGGCUAACUACGUG